RNAcentral lists this long non-coding RNA (850 nucleotides) under Spirodela polyrhiza (greater duckweed). RNAcentral describes it as "long non-coding RNA (SPOL_LNC002103)". The record is from RNAcentral. Lineage: Eukaryota; Viridiplantae; Streptophyta; Magnoliopsida; Alismatales; Araceae.
GGGAUCGGACGGCGGCUUUCUCAGAUUUCCCCUCUUUUUUUUUUCUCGUCUUUCGAGUUCCGUCGGUUCUUCCCGACUCGAUCUCAACUCGCCUCUCGCUGUUUCUUCAAUCGAAGUCGUGUUCCUUCCUGAGGCAGAUGGAUUGCGGAGACGAAGCAGUUCAACUAGAUGGAUGACAACUUGAUGAUUUCUACUACUACCUAUCCUAUGAAUGGCUCUUCGGAAAAAAUAGCGGCUAGGACAAGCGAAUCCAUCACAAGAAUUAUUUCUCCUCCUCCUGGCUGACGAUGCCGGCCGGUAGAAUUCAAGGAAACCCCCACCAUCAGAGAUUUUGACGCAGGCUUUUUCUAUCCUAGGCUAGAUCUCUGUCGGCAGAGCAUCCCAUUUUUUCCGAUAAUUCACCGAGAAAUUCCAUCCUACGGGUCCACCAACUCCUUCCGUCUUCGGUAUUCACCCAGUCGGCCGUUAAUCGGUUGCCGAUAUCUGAUCUCUUCAAAAUGCGCGCCACGAAUUUUUAGCACACUCCAAGCAUAUGAUCUCGUUCGUUCCCUGCAACAGCUGGCCUCCUUGAAGGUCCCAUCUGCGGUGGAGGUGGCCAAGCGAGGAGCCGACGAGGAUCUGGCGACCGAGCUCAGGAAGCUGAGGAGGCAGAACACCAUCACCCACUGCCUCUUAUCCGCCAUGAUCGUGGUCACCGCCGCUUGGCAGCUCUCCGCGGCCUCCCUUCUGCUCAGUCUCAAGAGCAGGCUCACCAACCCAUUCAAGACCGCGGUGAGCCUGAUCGGGAGUGUUCUGAAGGGUGGAGGAGGAGGGGGCCUGCAGGAGUUGCAGAGGCUAUCUUCCAACCCAG